UACGUAGGCAGCAAGCGUUGUUCGGAAUUACUGGGCGUAAAGAGUGUGUAGGCGGUGCUCUAAGUUUGGUGUGAAAUCUCCCGGCUCAACCGGGAGGCUGCAUCGAAUACUGGAAUGCUAGAGGGUGGGAGAGGUAAGCGGAAUUCCUGGUGUAGCGGUGAAAUGCGUAGAUAUCAGGAGGAACACCUGUGGUGUAGACAGCUUACUGGACCACUUCUGACGCUGAACGACGAAAGCGUGGGUAGCAAACAGG
This 253-nucleotide ribosomal RNA is filed under the name uncultured bacterium. Its description in RNAcentral is "partial 16S ribosomal RNA". It matches the Rfam family "Bacterial small subunit ribosomal RNA", at positions 524 to 776 of the family's 1533-position model. The record is from RNAcentral.